UUGUUCGGAAUUACUGGGCGUAAAGGGCUCGUAGGUGGCCAACUAAGUCAGACGUGAAAUCCCUCGGCUUAACCGGGGAACUGCGUCUGAUACUGGAUGGCUUGAGGUUGGGAGAGGGAUGCGGAAUUCCAGGUGUAGCGGUGAAAUGCGUAGAUAUCUGGAGGAACACCGGUGGCGAAGGCGGCAUCCUGGACCAAUUCUGACACUGAGGAGCGAAAGCCAGGGGAGCAAACGGG
Molecule: ribosomal RNA, 236 nt
Filed under: uncultured bacterium
Lineage: Bacteria
Description: partial 16S ribosomal RNA
Rfam family: Bacterial small subunit ribosomal RNA
Source: RNAcentral